Long non-coding RNA from Neofelis nebulosa (Clouded leopard), 440 nucleotides. RefSeq lists it as uncharacterized. The transcript is spliced from 4 exons. Lineage: Eukaryota; Metazoa; Chordata; Mammalia; Carnivora; Felidae. The record is from RefSeq and is a predicted model, not a curated record.
UCCUUGUAUUAUCUUCAUUUCCUUCAUCCAAAAAGUUUUCUUCCUGAGAAGAAACUUGCUUUUGACUUUUUUUUUCUUUUUUUCAGAUUCAAGGCUGUCCUCAAAUGUCUAAUGACUUUUGGCUACUGGUUCCUGAAAUAAUAUUUUUUCUCUGUUAUUGCCCAUGGAAUGAAGACCAACUCAACUCUCAAGAGCAAGCUGAAGCCAAACACUGAACAAAAUGGACAAACCUGAAAUAUGGCACAUCAUGUUGUGGCUGAGAUACCUGAUCUUCAUUUAUUUCAAGUGACGGGACUUCUUUUGUUGGGAGGCCAUUUGAAUUUUUAGUAGUUUCAUCUUUAUUUAAGACAUGUUCUACAAAGAAAACACCACAGGUUUCCCAUCUCUUCUGACUCUCUGUGGCUCUAAACAAAUCUCUGAUAAAUCAUAGUCCGGAAGGU